UCGAGACGCUGGCGGCGUGCUUAACACAUGCAAGUCGAACGGGAGGAAAAGAGAAGCUUGCUUCUUUUUGAAUCUAGUGGCAAACGGGUGAGUAACACGUAAACAACCUGCCUUCAGGAUGGGGACAACAGACGGAAACGACUGCUAAUACCGAAUGUGUUCCGGAGACCGCAUGAUUUCCGGAAGAAAGGAUGGCCUCUAUUUAUAAGCUAUCGCCUGAAGAGGGGUUUGCGUCUGAUUAGGCAGUUGGUGAGGUAACGGCCCACCAAACCUACGAUCAGUAGCCGGUCUGAGAGGAUGAACGGCCACACUGGAACUGAGACACGGUCCAGACUCCUACGGGAGGCAGCAGUGGGGAAUCUUCCGCAAUGGACGAAAGUCUGACGGAGCAACGCCGCGUGAGUGAUGACGGCCUUCGGGUUGUAAAGCUCUGUGAUCGGGGACGAAUGGCUGGUAUGCUAAUACCAUAUCAGAGUGACGGUACCCGAAUAGCAAGCCACGGCUAACUACGUGCCAGCAGCCGCGGUAAUACGUAGGUGGCAAGCGUUGUCCGGAAUUAUUGGGCGUAAAGCGCGCGCAGGCGGCUUCUUAAGUCCAUCUUAAAAGUGCGGGGCUCAACCCCGUGAGGGAGUGGAAACUAUUUUUCUUGAGUGCAGGAGAGGAAAGCGGAAUUCCUAGUGUAGCGGUGAAAUGCGUAGAUAUUAGGAGGAACACCAGUGGCGAAGGCGGCUUUCUGGACUGUAACUGACACUGAGGCUCGAAAGCCAGGGGAGCGAACGGGAUUAGAUACCCCGGUAGUCCUGGCCGUAAACGAUGGAUACUAGGUGUAGGAGGUAUCGACCCCUUCUGUGCCGGAGUUAACGCAAUAAGUAUCCCGCCUGGGGAGUACGAUCGCAAGAU
This 900-nucleotide ribosomal RNA is filed under the name uncultured Dialister sp. Its description in RNAcentral is "bacterial SSU rRNA". It matches the Rfam family "Bacterial small subunit ribosomal RNA", at positions 29 to 894 of the family's 1533-position model. Lineage: Bacteria; Bacillati; Bacillota; Negativicutes; Veillonellales; Veillonellaceae. The record is from RNAcentral.